CCUACGGGUGGCAGCAGUGGGGAAUAUUGCGCAAUGGGCGAAAGCCUGACGCAGCGACGCCGCGUGAGGGAUGAAGGUCUUCGGAUCGUACACCUCUGUCAGCAGGGAAGAACGGUCACUUUGCUAAUCAGCAGUGCAUUGACGGUACCUGCAAAGGAAGCACCGGCUAACUCCGUGCCAGCAGCCGCUGUAAUACGGAGGGUGCGAGCGUUAAUCGGAAUUACUGGGCGUAACGCGAGAGGAGGAGGGAGGUCAAGUCAAGGGUGAAAUCCCCGGGCUCAACGUGGGAAAUGCAUUUGAAACUGGCAAACUGGAGUGUGUGAGAGGAUAGUGGAAUUCCAGGUGUAGGAGUGAAAUCCGUAGAUAUCUGGAGGAACAUCAGUGGCGAAGGCGACUAUCUGGAACAUAACUGACGCUGAGGAGCGAAAGCGUGGGUAGCAAACAGGAUUAGAUACCCGGGUAGUC
Molecule: ribosomal RNA, 465 nt
Filed under: uncultured bacterium
Lineage: Bacteria
Description: partial 16S ribosomal RNA
Rfam family: Bacterial small subunit ribosomal RNA
Source: RNAcentral